This 229-nucleotide unclassified non-coding RNA is filed under the name plant metagenome. RNAcentral's name for it is "partial contains small subunit ribosomal RNA, internal transcribed spacer 1, and 5.8S ribosomal RNA". The record is from RNAcentral.
UCUCCGUAGGUGAACCUGCGGAGGGAUCAUUACAGAGUUCUCGCCCUCGCGGGUAGAUCUCCCACCCACUGUUAUCGUUACUGUGUUGCUUUGGCGGGCCGCCGGGCCCCGCUCGGCCGCCGGCUCCGGCUGGCGCGCGCCCGCCAGAGGCCCAGCAAACUCUGAAUGUUAGUGUCGUCUGAGUACUAUAUAAUAGUUAAAAUUUUCAACAACGGAUCUCUUGGUUCUG